Molecule: transfer RNA, 73 nt
Filed under: Paramuricea clavata
Lineage: Eukaryota; Metazoa; Cnidaria; Anthozoa; Malacalcyonacea; Plexauridae
Rfam family: tRNA
About the family: Transfer RNA (tRNA) molecules are approximately 80 nucleotides in length. Their secondary structure includes four short double-helical elements and three loops (D, anti-codon, and T loops). Further hydrogen bonds mediate the characteristic L-shaped molecular structure. tRNAs have two regions of fundamental functional importance: the anti-codon, which is responsible for specific mRNA codon recognition, and the 3' end, to which the tRNAs corresponding amino acid is attached (by aminoacyl-tRNA synthetases). tRNAs cope with the degeneracy of the genetic code in two manners: having more than one tRNA (with a specific anti-codon) for a particular amino acid; and 'wobble' base-pairing, i.e. permitting non-standard base-pairing at the 3rd anti-codon position.
Source: Rfam by way of RNAcentral
GACCGCAUAGCUCAGUUGGCAGAGCAUUGGGCUGGUAUUCCAAAGGUUGUAGGUUCGAUUCCCACCGUGGUCA